ACCAGGCAUGUUUAGAAGCCCAAGAAAAUGGCGGGAUCUAAAGGGCCCAGAGAUGGGGCUGAAGACCCUGGGGAGGGUAGGCAGUUUGGUGAACUCUUUGCUACCCUGGAAGGGGUUUGUUCUGACUGUGUGACUUGGCUGGAGGGCCGAGUCAUUGAACAGCUGCCAAGUGAGGUCAGCAACAGAGGGGUGCAAAGAGUGGGGAAAAGCUUGCAGUACUUCACCCAGCCACUAGGAGGCACUCAAGGGGCUGUUGUUGGUUGGCUCCUGUCCUCGUUGCUGAGGAAGGGCUCCGGGAUCCUGAUUGGCCGUCUGCAGCGAAAGGAUCGAGUACAAUCCCAAUCAGAUGCUGCAAGGCUCAUGUGCUGAGCUUUAUCUUCAGGAAACUGGAACCGUCAUUUCUCAGAGAACAAACUGUCCAGAGGCAAAGUAAUCUUGAAUGACCAAGACAAACCUGAAGGAGGGAUGCACAAGCUGAAAAAUAAAGUAAUAAAAAUGCA
Long non-coding RNA from Mauremys reevesii (Reeves's turtle), 500 nucleotides. RefSeq lists it as uncharacterized. The record is from RefSeq and is a predicted model, not a curated record. The transcript is spliced from 3 exons. NCBI's taxonomy places the organism in Eukaryota, Metazoa, Chordata, Testudines, Geoemydidae.